Molecule: transfer RNA, 59 nt
Filed under: Aglaiogyrodactylus forficulatus
Lineage: Eukaryota; Metazoa; Platyhelminthes; Monogenea; Gyrodactylidea; Oogyrodactylidae
Description: tRNA-Cys
Source: RNAcentral
GGAGGAAUAAACAAAAUUUUGCAAAAAUUUUAUUAUUAUAUUUAUUAUAAUUUCCUCUU